UACGGGGGGGGCAAGCGGUUGUUCGGAAUUACUGGGCGUAAAGGGCUCGUAGGCGGCCAACUAAGUCAGACGUGAAAUCCCUCGGCUUAACCGGGGAACUGCGUCUGAUACUGGAUGGCUUGAGUUUGGGAGAGGGAUGCGGAAUUCCAGGUGUAGCGGUGAAAUGCGUAGAUAUCUGGAGGAAUACCGGUGGCGAAGGCGGCAUCCUGGACCAUAACUGACGCUGAGGCGCGACAGCGUGGGGAGCAAACAGG
RNAcentral lists this ribosomal RNA (254 nucleotides) under uncultured bacterium. Its description in RNAcentral is "partial 16S ribosomal RNA". It matches the Rfam family "Bacterial small subunit ribosomal RNA", at positions 524 to 776 of the family's 1533-position model. The record is from RNAcentral.